Molecule: non-coding RNA, 489 nt
Organism: Camellia sinensis
Lineage: Eukaryota; Viridiplantae; Streptophyta; Magnoliopsida; Ericales; Theaceae
Source: RefSeq, a predicted model, not a curated record
AAUAAAAAAUAGUGAAAUUAAUCACAAAUCAGCAAAAGUUUUCAUAUAUAAAACUGUCUCUCUGUCUCAGAAUCUAUAAGCUAACAGUGCUCAUCAAAACCCUAAAUAGAGCUGCCGCCACAAGUUACCACCGCAAAAUGCAGCUCGUCAAAAAGAUGGUAACAUUCUGAGCAGGAGGCAUCUUUAAUGCAAGUUUGUUUCCCUGGUAACAUUCUGAGCAGGAGGCAUCUUUAAUGCAAGUUUGUUUCCCUUGUAUGUGUCCAUCAACCAUCAUUUUGAUUUCCUGAUCAUAUAAUGUGCUUUGGCAAAGUAUUGUUCUACUCAUUUCUUCUAAGUGACAAAUCCUCCAUCUUUGGAUAAUAGAGUAGUGAAGGAUGAUUUGUCUUCAGUCAUGUGUCUAGAGCAUCCACUAUUAAGGUACCACCUUCUGUUUUUUGCUUUAGACUUAAGGCAUACCUACAAUAAGAUAAUCAAAUGUUGGAUUUUGGU